Molecule: ribosomal RNA, 463 nt
Filed under: uncultured bacterium
Lineage: Bacteria
Description: partial 16S ribosomal RNA
Rfam family: Bacterial small subunit ribosomal RNA
Source: RNAcentral
GAUGAACGCUGACAGAAUUCUUAACACAUGCAAGUCUUUGGCGAAGCUGUGCUUGCACAGCCUAGCCAAGGCGGACGGGUGAGUAACGCGUAAGGAACUUGCCCUGCAGUCAGGGAUAACAGACGGAAACGACUGAUAAGACCUGGUAAAGUCAGGCGGACUCAUGUCCAGCCUGAUGAAAAGAGAUGCUGCAGGAGAGCCUUGCGUCCUAUUAGCUUGUUGGUGGGGUAACGGCCCACCAAGGCGAUGAUAGGUAGCCGGCCUGAGAGGGUGGACGGCCACAAGGGGACUGAGAUACGGCCCUUACUCCUACGGGAGGCAGCAGUGGGGAAUAUUGGACAAUGGGGGCAACCCUGAUCCAGCAAUUCUGUGUGCACGAUGAAGGUUUUCGGAGUGUAAAGUGCUUUCAGCAGGGAAGAAAAAAAUGACGGUACCUGCAGAAGAAGCGACGGCUAAAUACGUG